This 443-nucleotide ribosomal RNA is filed under the name uncultured bacterium. RNAcentral's name for it is "partial 16S ribosomal RNA". It matches the Rfam family "Bacterial small subunit ribosomal RNA", at positions 338 to 795 of the family's 1533-position model. The record is from RNAcentral.
CCUACGGGUGGCAGCAGUGGGGAAUAUUGGGCAAUGGACGAAACUCUGACCCAGCAACGCCGCGUGAAUGAUGAAGGUCUUCGGGUUGUAAAGUUCUUUUCUAAGGGACGAAGAAAGUGACGGUACCUUAGGAAUAAGCCUCGGCUAACUACGUGCCAGCAGCCGCGGUAAGACGUAGGAGGCAAGCGUUAUCCGGAAUGACUGGGCGUAAAGGGUGCGUAGGUGGUUUGACAAGUUGGUAGCGUAACUCCGGGGCUCAACCUCGGGCCUACUACCAAAACUGUCGGACUUGAGUGCAGGAGGGGCAACUGGAAUUCCGAGUGUAGCGGUGGAAUGCGUAGAUAUUAGGAGGAACACCAGGGGCGAAGGCGGUUUGCUGGACAGUAACUGACGCUGAGGCACGAAAGCGUGGGGAGCAAACAGGAUUAGAUACCCGUGUAGUC